This 276-nucleotide ribosomal RNA is filed under the name Triticum aestivum (bread wheat). Its description in RNAcentral is "partial small subunit ribosomal RNA". The record is from RNAcentral. Lineage: Eukaryota; Viridiplantae; Streptophyta; Magnoliopsida; Poales; Poaceae.
AUGGAAGUGGACUGUCUGGAGGUUGUGAACCUCUGGGCUUCGCGCAACAAUGCUCGUUCCAUUGUAGCGCCUAUUUUAGAUGAGAUAGGGGAGAAAUCUUCAAGUUUUAUUUCCUUUUCUGUUAGGCAUGUCCUGAGGGAUGGGAAUAGUGUGGCAGACCUCUGUGCAAAGCACGUAUGUACCUUGUCGGUCUCCGAGUGCUGGCUCGAGGAAUGCCCGAGUUUUCUAGUUAGCAGCAUUCGUGCUGAUUGUAACAGGACCUUGUUAAAGCAAUAA